RNAcentral lists this long non-coding RNA (322 nucleotides) under Sorghum bicolor (sorghum). Its description in RNAcentral is "long non-coding RNA (SBIC_LNC008505)". The record is from RNAcentral. Lineage: Eukaryota; Viridiplantae; Streptophyta; Magnoliopsida; Poales; Poaceae.
ACAAGAUGAUUAUAUAUAUUUUUUUCUAUAGCCUUUUGCUUUGUGUCUCAUCUAACAUUUAGCUAUUAGAGAGAGAUUCUAUAGUUAGAGCAUGGGGCAUCUAUAUUUGGUGGAAUGGAAUGGAAUGAAAUGGUGCAUACUCCCAGUGUAGGAGCAGCAGUUGUAUGUGGAUGGUGUGGAUCUUGAUCUCAUUGAGCACGACACAACUCUAAACCAAGGGUCAAAAAGAGUUGACAACUCUCAACACAAGCAAGCAGCCUAUGUGCUAGGUUUCUAUCAUGUAGAGCAUAUAUGGCUUGUGGUAGGAAUUUAACACCAUUGA